GGAUUAUCCCAUCAGGAAUCUGAUUCCAGAAAUCCUCUUGUCCUGGAUUCAAGAGAAUGAAUCAAGAAAGUAAAAGGAGAUGAAAAAGAGCAAGAAGAGGAAAUGGGCCACAGAGCAGAACGGCACAACGAAGGCUUCCAUGGGGCUCCCUCUGUGUUGAAUUGAUGCACCAGAGGCAGCAGACAUAUCCGCAAUUCAGGGACUUCCCUCGUGGUCCAAUGGAUAAGACUAUAUGCUCCCAAUUCAGGGGGCUCAGGGUUGAUCCCUGGUGGGGGAACUAGAUCCCGCGUGCAUGCCGCAACUAAGACGCCUUCGUACCUCAACCGAAGAUCCCACGUGCCGCAACUAAGACCCGGUGCAGCAAAAAUGAAUAAAUAAAUGUUUAAAAAAAUUUUCCCCACAUAUUUUGGCUUUUUCCCUUCAAAUAUAAAAAGGCUGGAGAGGCUUUAGUUCUUGAGUGACAGUU
Molecule: non-coding RNA, 466 nt
Organism: Kogia breviceps (pygmy sperm whale)
Lineage: Eukaryota; Metazoa; Chordata; Mammalia; Artiodactyla; Physeteridae
Source: RefSeq, a predicted model, not a curated record